RNAcentral lists this non-coding RNA (96 nucleotides) under Macellibacteroides fermentans. The record is from RNAcentral. Lineage: Bacteria; Pseudomonadati; Bacteroidota; Bacteroidia; Bacteroidales; Porphyromonadaceae.
CGAGGUCAUCCGAGCAGUAACAACGAACCGUGAGAAGUCAGCAGAGGUCAUAGUAACCGGGAAGGGAAAAAAAACAUCGACAACCUGGUGAAGGAC